CUCGUAGGUGGUUUGUCGCGUUGUCCGUGAAAACUCACAGCUCAACUGUGGGCGUGCGGGCGAUACGGGCAGACUGGAGUACUGCAGGGGAGACUGGAAUUCCUGGUGUAGCGGUGGAAUGCGCAGAUAUCAGGAGGAACACCGGUGGCGAAGGCGGGUCUCUGGGCAGUAACUGACGCUGAGGAGCGAAAGCGUGGGGAGCGAACA
RNAcentral lists this ribosomal RNA (207 nucleotides) under uncultured bacterium. RNAcentral describes it as "partial 16S ribosomal RNA". It matches the Rfam family "Bacterial small subunit ribosomal RNA", at positions 568 to 774 of the family's 1533-position model. The record is from RNAcentral.